GACCCUUCAUCACGAGAUUGCCAAGUACAGUCUAGAUUCUACAGGGCGGGCAAGGGUGACAAGCAGAAAUACCAUAUGGUCAGUUGGCCCGACAUCUGCAAGCCCCGUGACCAGGGUGGUCUGGGCAUCAUGUCGUCCAAACGCAUGAACAUCGCCUUGCUGACCAAAUGGCUCUGGAGGAUUGCCAAUGGCGAGGGCGGUCUUUGGCUUGAUAUCAUUAGAAGCAAUACCUUCGGGGUCAGCCGCUAG
RNAcentral lists this ribosomal RNA (249 nucleotides) under Triticum aestivum (bread wheat). RNAcentral describes it as "partial small subunit ribosomal RNA". Lineage: Eukaryota; Viridiplantae; Streptophyta; Magnoliopsida; Poales; Poaceae. The record is from RNAcentral.